Ornithodoros turicata is the source of this 202-nucleotide long non-coding RNA. RefSeq lists it as uncharacterized. NCBI's taxonomy places the organism in Eukaryota, Metazoa, Arthropoda, Arachnida, Ixodida, Argasidae. The record is from RefSeq and is a predicted model, not a curated record. The transcript is spliced from 3 exons.
AGCUGGUUGAUGUGAAACGAGGGAGUGGACGCGGCUGUUGGACUGCUUUAUUACGACGCAAAGGCAGAGGUUUCGUCUUUCGUGAAAGCGUUUCUGGGUGCGGUCCUUACUGGAACAAGUGGCGGCUGGCGUUAAUAAGCCCUCAUUCGUUACGGCGUCUCUUGCUGACCUCCUAUGAAGCCAGUACUGGUGGCAUUGCAUU